This 388-nucleotide ribosomal RNA is filed under the name uncultured bacterium. RNAcentral's name for it is "bacterial SSU rRNA". It matches the Rfam family "Bacterial small subunit ribosomal RNA", at positions 425 to 793 of the family's 1533-position model. The record is from RNAcentral.
GUAAAGCACUUUCAGUAGGGAGGAAGGUAGUGUAGUUAACACCUGCAUUAUUUGACGUUACCUACAGAAGAAGCACCGGCUAACUCCGUGCCAGCAGCCGCGGUAAUACGGAGGGUGCGAGCGUUAAUCGGAAUUACUGGGCGUAAAGACGCAUGCAGGCGGCCGUGUUAAGUCAGAUGUGAAAGCCCGGGGCGUUAACCUCCGGAAUUGCAUUUGUAAACUAGGCAGGCUAGAGUCUUGUAGAGGGGGGUAGGGAAGUUUACUAGGUGUAGCGGUGAAAUAGCGUAGAGAUCUGAAGGAAUACCAGUGGCGAAGGCGGCCCCCUGGACAAAGACUGACGCUCAGAUGCGAAAGCGUGGGGAGCAAACAGGAUUAGAUACCCUGGUAG